This 437-nucleotide ribosomal RNA is filed under the name uncultured bacterium. RNAcentral's name for it is "partial 16S ribosomal RNA". It matches the Rfam family "Bacterial small subunit ribosomal RNA", at positions 29 to 507 of the family's 1533-position model. The record is from RNAcentral.
AGCGAACGCUGGCGGCAGGCUUAACACAUGCAAGUCGAGCGGGCAUCCUUGUGGUGUCAGCGGCAGACGGGUGAGUAACGCGUGGGAACGUGCCCUUCGGUUCGGAAUAACUCAGGGAAACCUGAGCUAAUACCGGAUACGUGCGAGAGCAGAAAGGUUUAUCUGCCGAAGGAUCGGCCCGCGUCUGAUUAGCUAGUUGGUGAGGUUAUGGCUCACCAAGGCGACGAUCAGUAGCUGGUCUGAGAGGAUGAUCAGCCACACUGGGACUGAGACACGGCCCAGACUCCUACGGGAGGCAGCAGUGGGGAAUAUUGGACAAUGGGGGCAACCCUGAUCCAGCCAUGCCGCGUGAGUGAUGACGGCCUUAGGGUUGUAAAGCUCUUUUCUCCGGGACGAUAAUGACGGUACCGGAGGAAUAAGCCCCGGCUAACUUCGUG